Molecule: ribosomal RNA, 253 nt
Filed under: uncultured bacterium
Lineage: Bacteria
Description: partial 16S ribosomal RNA
Rfam family: Bacterial small subunit ribosomal RNA
Source: RNAcentral
UACGUAGGGUGCAAGCGUUGUCCGGAAUUAUUGGGCGUAAAGAGCUCGUAGGCGGUCUGUCGCGUCUGCUGUGAAAACUCAGGGCUUAACCCUGAGCUUGCAGUGGGUACGGGCAGACUAGAGUGCGGUAGGGGAGACUGGAAUUCCUGGCGUAGCGGUGAAAUGCGCAGAUAUCAGGAGGAACACCGGUGGCGAAGGCGGGUCUCUGGGCCGUAACUGACGCUGAGGAGCGAAAGCAUGGGGAGCGAACAGG